UUGGAUGGCAUCAUUUGAUAGUUAAAACUGAGGUGGUAUAGGAUGGGCAUGCGUCUGAUUAGUUAGUUGCGGGGUAAUGGCCCACCAAGACGAUGAUCAGUAGGGGUUCUGAGAGGAAGAUCCCCCACACUGGCACUGAGAUACGGGCCAGACUCCUACGGGAGGCAGCAGUAGGGAAUAUUGGUCAAUGGAUGCAAGUCUGAACCAGCCAUGCCGCGUGCAGGAAGAAGGCCUUCUGGGUUGUAAACUGCUUUUGCCAGGGGAUAAAAUUUCCAUGCGUGGAAAACUGAAGGUACCUGGUGAAUAAGCCACGGCUAACUACGUG
RNAcentral lists this ribosomal RNA (325 nucleotides) under uncultured bacterium. Its description in RNAcentral is "bacterial SSU rRNA". It matches the Rfam family "Bacterial small subunit ribosomal RNA", at positions 181 to 507 of the family's 1533-position model. The record is from RNAcentral.